GAAAUGCGAUAAUUAAUGUGAAUUGCAGAAUUCAGUGAAUCAUCGAGUCUUUGAACGCACAUUGCGCCCCCUGGUAUUCCGGGGGGCAUGCCUGUCCGAGCGUCAUUGCUGCCCUCAAGCACGGCUUGUGUGUUGGGCUUCCGUCCCUGGCAACGGGGACGAGCCCAAAAGGCAGUGGCGGCACCAUGUCUGGUCCUCGAGCGUAUGGGGCUUUGUCACCCGCUCCCGUAGGUCCAGCUGGCAGCUAGCCUCGCAACCAAUCUUUUUAACCAGGUUGACCUCGGAUCAGGUAGGGAUACCCGCUGAACUUAAGC
This 314-nucleotide unclassified non-coding RNA is filed under the name plant metagenome. RNAcentral describes it as "partial contains 5.8S ribosomal RNA, internal transcribed spacer 2, and large subunit ribosomal RNA". The stretch from base 1 to 105 matches the Rfam family "5.8S ribosomal RNA", at positions 50 to 154 of the family's 154-position model. The record is from RNAcentral.